ACGGAAGGCAGCAGUAGGGAAUAUUGCACAAUGGGGGAAACCCUGAUGCAGCAACGCCACGUGUGGGAAGAAGCAUUUCGGUGUGUAAACCACUGUCGUGAGGGAAUAAUGCUAUUUUUCGGAAUAGUUGAAUGUACCUCGAAAGGAAGCACCGGCAAACUACGUGCCAGCAGCCGCGGUAAUACGUAGGGGGCAAGCGUUAUCCGGAUUUACUGGGUGUAAAGGGAGCGCAGGCGGUAACGCAAGCCAGAGGUGAAAACCCGGGGCUCAACCCCGAGGAUUGCCUUUGGAACUGUGGAACUGGAGUGCUGGAGGGGCAGGCGGAAUUCCUGGUGUAGCGGUGAAAUGCGUAGAUAUCAGGAGGAACACCGGUGGCGAAGGCGGCCUGCUGGACAGUAACUGACGCUGAGGCUCGAAAGCGUGGGGAGCAAACAGGAUUAGAUACCCUGGUA
Molecule: ribosomal RNA, 452 nt
Filed under: uncultured Lachnospiraceae bacterium
Lineage: Bacteria; Bacillati; Bacillota; Clostridia; Lachnospirales; Lachnospiraceae
Description: bacterial SSU rRNA
Rfam family: Bacterial small subunit ribosomal RNA
Source: RNAcentral